CUUUGAAACUGGGAAGCCAGACAUUGACUUCUCUCUAGCUAUGGAAGUCCUAGAUGGCAUCUUCUUCCAAAGAAGGCUGUUCUGUCUAUAUUGAAAGGCUGUUU
This 104-nucleotide microRNA precursor is filed under the name Dasypus novemcinctus (nine-banded armadillo). Its description in RNAcentral is "miRNA (ENSDNOG00000039407.1)". The record is from RNAcentral. Lineage: Eukaryota; Metazoa; Chordata; Mammalia; Cingulata; Dasypodidae.